CUCUCCCUUCUUUCUCUUAUUCUUCUUCUCCCUCCCUCAAGACCGAAUCUUCAAGCCUCAUGUCUCCUUCAUCAGUUUUCCUUUCUCAAAUCAAGACCUCCAAGAAAGUAAGGAGUUCUCUCCAUUAGUCCUAGUAACCAAAGUCCAUGAGAUUUUGAAGUGGAUCAAACUCAAGGUUCCAAGGUACUUGAUGAUGGACCUAGUGAUGAGAUUGGUUGAUUUCAUGGUGCCCGGUUGAGGUAAAAUUGGUUGGCAUCCCGAGAUAAGUAGCUUUUAAUGGAAUUUUUGAAAAAUAACCAUAUUGCAUAAAUGUUGUUUUUGGGUUAGACACGCUUUUGGAAACUACCUAUGGAAACUAUAUUUUCCUAAAAAAAACUAUUGUGUCGUAACCUUAAUUAAUAUAUAUAUAUAUAUAUAUAUAUGAUUAUAUAUGUGAAAAAUGCAUCAUAUUUGGUAUUGCAUUUGAGGAAAUGCAUAGAUUGUUGACAUGGAAAAUAUGAGCAUCUUUGAAUUAAUCCUAUGAUAAGGAAUUCAUGGACUUUAUGGUAUAUUGGAACUUAAAAGUGCUUAUUUAUCUUGUCUUGUAUUAUUUGGGAAAUAUUGAUGCAAAACAUUAAUGUAACACCCCAAAUGUUUCUCUAAAUAUAUGUGUAUAUUUUUUAGUGAGGGCAUUUUUGUAAAAUUGUCAACAAGAUAUUUCUUAUGUGUGGUCCAUAAUCUCCCUAUCUAUCACCACACAUGAAACCCCCCCCCCCCUCUCCUCUCUUUUCAUUCUCACGGCUACUCUCUCCCUCCUUUCUCUUAUUCCCUCUUCUUCUCCCUCCCUCAAGACCGAUCUUCAAGCCCCAUGUCUCCUUCAUCAUUUUUCCUUUCUCAAAUCAAGACCUCCAAGAAAGUGAGGGGUUCUCUCCAUUAGUCCUCCUAGUAACCAAACUCCAUGAGAUUUUGAAAUGGAUCAAACCCAAGGUUCCAAGGUACUUGAUGAUGGACCUAGUGAUGAGAUUGGUUGAUUUCAUGGUGCGCGGUUGGGGUAAAAUUGGUUGGCAUCCCGAGAGUAGGCAACAAUCUUUCAAGACAGCUUUUUGGUGGCUAAGCUGAACUUUUGUAAUGGAGACAUUAGAUGAUGUACACCUUAGAAUAGACUUGACUCAUUCUUUUGUAUGUUAUAGUGGUUGUGACUUUAUUUCCCACCGAUGGGACGAGCUGUUGAUAUGUAAUUAUAUAUUCAGACCUCUAUUCUUUUGUGGCUAAUGGUCCUUGUAAUUAAUGCUUAGAGCUCUAACUUACUUUAAAAGUAUAUUCAAUGGAAUUGUUAUGAUAAUUCUUGA
Molecule: long non-coding RNA, 1328 nt
Organism: Quercus robur (English oak)
Lineage: Eukaryota; Viridiplantae; Streptophyta; Magnoliopsida; Fagales; Fagaceae
Exons: 2
Source: RefSeq, a predicted model, not a curated record